Long non-coding RNA from Maniola jurtina (meadow brown), 119 nucleotides. RefSeq lists it as uncharacterized. The transcript has 3 exons. NCBI's taxonomy places the organism in Eukaryota, Metazoa, Arthropoda, Insecta, Lepidoptera, Nymphalidae. The record is from RefSeq and is a predicted model, not a curated record.
CUAAAACUGCUUACAAUACAAUGGCGCCGAUUCUGCUGUCUUUCUCUAAACUAAAUUUAGACUGUGUGCAACUUUUUCUUUUUAAUUUUAUUAAAAAAGGACUGAACAUGAAUUUUAAA